CUUAGAUCAAGCCAGCCGCAUGACUAAACUGCUCACACCCGAGGGAUUGUUUCUGCGUGUUUGUCUGACUCUGCUGUAGUGAAGGAAACAGGUGCUGAAAAAGGGUCUCGCUAAGUUGUUAAAUUGCUUACCCUGGGCUCAAACUUGUGAUCCUCCUACUUCAGCCUUCCAGGGUGCUGGGAUGACAGUUGUUGGUGCCCUUGCUGAUGAAUUCUAUAAACGACACUCAUGGACACUGAUGAGAAUCUGAUAGUCCUGUGGAGAGCAAAGAGUUGAUCCUGAACCAGUGCUGGGGAUUGAAUCCAGGGCCUCACACAUGUUAAGCAUGGCUGUACCACUGGGCACACCCCAGCCCUGUCCUGGCUUCCCCACUACAGAGGCAGUGAUGAGGGGGAAGAGCCUGGAUGCUGUGUCACCCAGACAGACUCUCUCCUGCAACUUCUGCUGUCCUCCACUACACACAACUAGAGGCCAGGUGAGCCACCCUUCAUUCAUUCAGGAGGCAGCUGUGACUUGGGGCAUCUCUCACCCUCCCUCACCCUCGAUUUCUUCCUGCAGUAACAGCCUCUCAGGGCCAAUGGGAAAGUUAAAGAACCAGAACUGCAUAGCUGGUGCUCACGUGAAAACAAAGGGCCUGUCUGGCCUGGUUACUGUUCUCCGUCUCUGAAGGGCUCCAGGCAGUGCAGGCACAGCCUCCCACCUUGCUAAUGCUCUGCCAUUACUCCUUCCUGUGCUGUCCUCCCUCCGAGGGUUGGAGGCCCACACCAGCGGAGAAGGUGCUGUUGACUCACUCUCACAACUACCAGUCUUUGUGUUAUCAGGGCCACAAUAAAACACUGCCUUUAAAAAUUCAG
This 854-nucleotide long non-coding RNA is filed under the name Heterocephalus glaber (naked mole-rat). RNAcentral describes it as "lncRNA (ENSHGLG00100039974.1)". Lineage: Eukaryota; Metazoa; Chordata; Mammalia; Rodentia; Bathyergidae. The record is from RNAcentral.